UUAGGAAUCUUGCGCAAUGGGCGAAAGCCUGACGCAGCAACGCCGCGUGAGGGAUGAAGGUUCUCGGAUUGUAAACCUCUUUCAGCAGGAACGAAAUUGACGGUACCUGCAGAAGAAGCUCCGGCCAACUACGUGCCAGCAGCCGCGGUAAUACGUAGGGAGCAAGCGUUGUCCGGAUUUAUUGGGCGUAAAGAGCUCGUAGGCGGUUAAGUAAGUCAGGUGUGAAACCUCCAGGCUCAACCUGGAGACGCCACUUGAUACUGCUUUGACUUGAGUUCGGUAGGGGUAAGCGGAAUUCCUGGUGUAGCGGUGAAAUGCGCAGAUAUCAGGAAGAACACCGACGGCGAAGGCAGCUUACUGGGCCGAUACUGACGCUGAGGAGCGAAAGCGUGGGGAGCGAACAG
This 404-nucleotide ribosomal RNA is filed under the name uncultured bacterium. RNAcentral describes it as "bacterial SSU rRNA". It matches the Rfam family "Bacterial small subunit ribosomal RNA", at positions 355 to 775 of the family's 1533-position model. The record is from RNAcentral.